This 471-nucleotide ribosomal RNA is filed under the name uncultured bacterium. RNAcentral describes it as "bacterial SSU rRNA". It matches the Rfam family "Bacterial small subunit ribosomal RNA", at positions 28 to 490 of the family's 1533-position model. The record is from RNAcentral.
GAUGAACGCUGGCGGCGUGCCUAACACAUGCAAGUCGAACGAAGCUUGAGGAAUGAUUUCUUCGGAAUGAAUUCUGAUAUGACUUAGUGGCGGACGGGUGAGUAACACGUGAGCAACCUGCCUUUCAGAGGGGGGAUAACGGCUGGAAACGGUCGCUAAUACCGCAUAAGAUUGUAGUACCGCAUGGUACAGCAAUUAAAGGAGCAAUCCGCUAUGAGAUGGGCCCGCGGGCGCAUUAGCUAGUUGGUGAGGUAACGGCUCACCAAGGCGACGAUGCGUAGCCGACCUGAGAGGGUGACCGGCCACAUUGGGACUGAGACACGGCCCCAAAACUCCUACGGGAGGCAGCAGUGGGGAAUAUUGCACAAUGGAGGAAACUCUGAUGCAGCGACGCCGCGUGAGCGAUGAAGUAUUUCGGUAUGUAAAGCUCUAUCUAGCAGGGAAGAUGAUGACGGUACCUGACGUAAGAAG